Rhizoctonia solani is the source of this 84-nucleotide non-coding RNA. Lineage: Eukaryota; Fungi; Basidiomycota; Agaricomycetes; Cantharellales; Ceratobasidiaceae. The record is from the annotation of a RefSeq genome assembly.
GCGUGAAUGGGGUAGUGGUAACCUUAAUCGUUGCCAACAUUGCACCGUUUCGAUUAGCCAGGGGUUCGAUUCCCCUUUCACGCA